GCAUACAGUUAAUGCAUUUGGCUGCUAACCAAAAGGUUAGAGGUUUGAGUCCACU
This 55-nucleotide transfer RNA is filed under the name Loxodonta africana (African savanna elephant). It matches the Rfam family "tRNA", at positions 10 to 63 of the family's 71-position model. From Rfam's summary of the family: Transfer RNA (tRNA) molecules are approximately 80 nucleotides in length. Lineage: Eukaryota; Metazoa; Chordata; Mammalia; Proboscidea; Elephantidae. The record is from Rfam by way of RNAcentral.